UACGUAGGGUGCGAGCGUUGUCCGGAAUUACUGGGCGUAAAGAGCUCGUAGGUGGUUUGUCGCGUUGUUCGUGAAAACCGGGGGCUUAACUCUCGGCGUGCGGGCGAUACGGGCAGACUGGAGUACUGCAGGGGAGACUGGAAUUCCUGGUGGAGCGGUGAAAUGCGUAGAUAUCGUUUGGAACGCCGACGGCGAAAGCAGGCUGCUGGGAUUGUGCCGACGCUGAGACACGAAAGCCAGGGGAGCGAACGGG
This 253-nucleotide ribosomal RNA is filed under the name uncultured bacterium. RNAcentral's name for it is "partial 16S ribosomal RNA". It matches the Rfam family "Bacterial small subunit ribosomal RNA", at positions 524 to 776 of the family's 1533-position model. The record is from RNAcentral.